UGGGGAAUAUUGCACAAUGGGCGCAAGCCUGAUGCAGCCAUGCCGCGUGUAUGAAGAAGGCCUUCGGGUUGUAAAGUACUUUCAGCGGGGAGGAAGGGAGUAAAGUUAAUACCUUUGCUCAUUGACGUUACCCGCAGAAGAAGCACCGGCUAACUCCGUGCCAGCAGCCGCGUUAAUACGGAGGGUGCAAGCGUUAAUCGGAAUUACUGGGCGUAAAGCGCACGCAGGCGGUUUGUUAAGUCAGAAGUGAAAUCCCCGGACUCAACCUGGGAACUGCAUCUGUUACUGGCACGCUUGAGUCCCGUAGAGGGGGGUAGAAUUCCAGGUGUAGAGGUGAAAUGCGUAGAGAUCUGGAGGAUUACCGGUGGCGAAGGCGGCCCCCUGGAAGAAGAAUGACGCUCAGGUGCGAAAGCGUGGGGAGCAAACAGG
This 429-nucleotide ribosomal RNA is filed under the name Chloroflexota bacterium. RNAcentral's name for it is "Chloroflexi bacterium partial 16S ribosomal RNA". It matches the Rfam family "Bacterial small subunit ribosomal RNA", at positions 355 to 776 of the family's 1533-position model. The record is from RNAcentral. Lineage: Bacteria; Bacillati; Chloroflexota.